AACUUUCGACAACGGAUCUCUUGGUUCUCGCAUCGAUGAAGAACGCAGCGUAAUGCGAUAAGUAAUGUGAAUUGCAGAAUUCAGUGAAUCAUCGAAUCUUUGAACGCAACUUGCGCUCCUUGGUACUCUGAGGAGCAUGCCUGUCUGAGUGUCAUUAAAUUUCUUCUCAACCCAUUCAGUUUCUCUAGUGGUGGGUUUUGGAAAAUUGGGGUCCUGCUGGUUAACUAUUUGUCCAGCCAUCCUGAUAAGCAUUAGGGGCAUCUGGGCUGCUUGCAGGAGAGAUAACUUGUCUACAACUUUGCAGGGGCUCUAUUUGUGUUAGUUUAGAGGGCAUUAAUGAAAUUUGACCUCAAAUCAUGUAGGAUUACCGGCUGAACUUAAGCAUAUCAAUGAGCGGAGGCU
RNAcentral lists this unclassified non-coding RNA (402 nucleotides) under uncultured Inocybe. RNAcentral's name for it is "sequence contains ITS2". The stretch from base 1 to 154 matches the Rfam family "5.8S ribosomal RNA". The record is from RNAcentral. Lineage: Eukaryota; Fungi; Basidiomycota; Agaricomycetes; Agaricales; Cortinariaceae.